Molecule: ribosomal RNA, 421 nt
Filed under: uncultured bacterium
Lineage: Bacteria
Description: bacterial SSU rRNA
Rfam family: Bacterial small subunit ribosomal RNA
Source: RNAcentral
UAAGGAAUAUUGGACAAUGCCCGCAAGGGUGAUCCAGCCAUGCCGCGUGCAGGAAGACGGCCCUAUGGGUUGUAAACUGCUUUUAUACCGGAGAAAACCUCUCCUCGUGAGGAGAGCUGAUUGUAUGGUAGGAAUAAGCAUCGGCUAACUUCGUGCCAGCAGCCGCGGUAAGACGAAGGAUGGAAGCGUUAUCCGGAUUCAUUGGGUUUAAAGGGAGCGUAGGUGGCCUUAUAAGUCAGUGGUGAAAUCUCUUCGCUUAACGAAGAAAUUGCCAUUGAUACUGUAGGGCUUGAGUAUAGUUGCCGUUGACGGAAAUGACAUGUAGUGGUGAAAUACAUAGAGAUGUCAUAGAACACCGAUUGCGAAGGCAGCUGACGAAACUAUAACUGACGCUGAGGCUCGAAAGUGCGGGGAUCAAACA